CUUUACCAGGUGCCGCCAGGCAGCACUGCGAGUGGAGUGUCUCGGUCGUGGUUGGGUGCCGCCAGGAGCCGCUGUGGCCGGCCCUGUCAGUCCUGGUGCACGGUCUCCUCGCUGACACACCGGGCUUGUGACCGGUUUCUCUCCGCUGCCUCUGCAGCCGGUCGAACAAUUCUACCGCCGCCGGCCUCGCCGUCCCUAACCUUGGCCUCCUCGCACUUUUGCUCCAGCGUUGCCUGCCUUCCCUAGCUGGGGCCCGCUCUCGUUGACCGGUCCUUUCCUACCUACCCGCCCCGGUGGAGGCUUCCGCUGGCUCCCCGGACCCCUUUGCUGAAGUUAAGCCGGGAGGUGCUGUGCUGGUUGUGGCUGGGCCUGGCUCCCAAUAGUCGGUGUGUCCGGUGGCGGUGCGGUCUGUCUCCCACCCCCGCGGUAUCCCGCUGGGGAUUUCGCCCUUUUAUCCCUGAGCUGAGCCCUGGCUCUGCCAUGCCGGGUCCGGCUACCGGGAGCAGGGCACGCGUGUAUGCCGAGGUAAACAGCCUAAAGCCCCGCGAGUACUGGGAUUACGAGUUGCACGUUCCUGAGUGGGGUAACCAGGAUGAUUACCAGUUGGUGCGAAAACUUGGUCGCGGGAAAUACAGUGAAGUAUUUGAGGCUAUUAACAUAACAAACAAUGAGAAAACGGUUGUCAAAAUACUGAAGCCUGUGAAAAAGAAGAAGAUAAAGCGUGAAAUCAAGAUACUGGAAAAUCUCCGUGGGGGUCCCAACAUCAUCAAGCUGCUAGAUGUGGUAAAAGACCCCGUGUCGAGGACUCCAGCUCUUGUUUUUGAGCACAUUGAUAACACUGAUUUCAAGCAACUGUAUCAGAUCUUGGUGGAUUAUGAUAUCCGGUUCUACAUGUAUGAGAUUCUCAAGGCCUUGGACUACUGCCACAGUAUGGGCAUUAUGCACAGGGACGUGAAGCCGCAUAAUGUGAUGAUCGACCAUACCCAGAGAAAGCUUCGGUUAAUUGACUGGGGACUGGCUGAGUUCUAUCAUCCUGAGCAAGAAUACAAUGUUAGAGUGGCCUCCAGAUAUUUCAAAGGUCCUGAGCUGCUAGUUGAUUACCAGAUGUAUGAUUAUAGCCUUGACAUGUGGAGUUUGGGGUGUAUGUUGGCCAGUAUGAUAUUUCGUAAGGAGCCAUUCUUUCAUGGACAUGAUAACUAUGAUCAGCUUGUUCGCAUUGCCAAGGUUUUAGGAACUGAUGAAUUGUUUGACUACCUCAAGAAGUACCACAUCGAACUGGACCCUCGGUUUAAUGAUACUCUUGGCCAGCAUUCUCGAAAGCGUUGGGAGCAGUUUAUUCACAGUGAGAAUCGGCACCUGGUUAGUCCAGAGGCCUUGGAUUUGUUGGAUAAACUACUUCGUUAUGAUCAUCAGCAGAGACUCACAGCUAAAGAAGCAAUGGAGCAUCCAUACUUCUAUCCAAUUCUGAAGGAACAUUCGGAUGGUGCUCGGAAUAACAACUCGCAUGUGCCUGGUGUUUCCGCAGCUGUGCGGUGAAUCCUGGUGGCAUAGUUCAUUUUGCAAGAUGGAGUUUUGGAUUUACGGGGAGACAUUGGACAAACAAGGAGCUAACACAGUCUGGAAAUGUGAACUUGUGACUGCAGCAACACAGAUUAUUUAACAACAGUCCCAGUUGGAAUAGAUUUACUGCUUUAGAGGCUGCAGAAAAUCACUCAACAGUAAUGGAACUUGACUGCUGGCGCAAACCUUGUGUUGUCAUUCUGAAGUAUCUUUGGGUUUUGUCCAAAUUGUCUGAGCAAAUAAUUCUUUUCCCUGAGCCCAUUUGCUACAAGGUAGUGCAUGGAGUAGAGCAAAAGUGCACUUCAUUUUAAGUAUGUACCAGUUGACUGAGUUUGUGUGGGGUUGGUACAAUGAUGUGAUGUUCCAGAUUAUGGCAGCUGCCAUCCCGAAAUCCAGAUUAACAAAAUCAGUAAGACAUGGGAUUCAUUGGCAUUUAUACACAAGUGUUUGGAUUAUAAAACUACUGUAACCUUUUUAAAUUCAGAAUAAAAAAAACUGAGCAAUGUAAAUAUUCUACAGUUCCUUUAUCAAUGAUGACCACAACUAGUGUUUUUGCAUUUUACCUCCCAAAUUUGGGAAUGGCUUUCAAAGAAUUGAGUUUCCAAGUGAAACUGAAAGGAGUUUAAACACUUAAGAAGCACCAGUACAUGCCUGAUACAAUAAUAAAAUGUGUAUUAUACUUAAUGCAAUGUAAAUCAUUCUUACAAAUAUAAACAGUUACAUUGCACCAAAGGGAAAUUGUUUUUGUAGGGUUUUAAUACCAGAAAUACAACUGGGAAGAGAAACAAUGUUGCAACAAGCCUGAGGGGCUGAAUAGCUGCUUCUGUUCUUCCUGUUUAUAAUGCUUAAAAUUAAGCUUAUUUUUUAUAUUUUAGACAAUGAAACUGCCAGGUUUUUGCUUUCAGUUGCUAUAUAAUUUUAUAGCAUGCGAAGUAAAUCCUUGUUCUUCAACUUUGUGCUCAACAUUCUGUUUUUAACUUAAAAAUAAACCAAAUUAAUCUAAUUUUCUGAGCACAAACACAAGCAAAUUUGCAGAUGCUGGAAAUUCAAGCAACACACGCAAAAUGCUGGUGGAAUGCAGUAGGCCAGGCAGCAUCUAUAGGAAGAAGCACAGUCGACGUUUCGAGCCGAGACCCAUGAAGGGUCGAAAUGUCAACUGUGCUUUUUCCUAAUUUUCUGAGGCCAGGGAUGUGUGUCUGACCUAAUUCAUAACCGAUAUGCUAAUAUCCCAUUCCUCUCUAAGAAAAUGUUUGCUGCACUUAGUGUGUGGUUAUGAAAACCUCCUUGCUCCUGUAAAUCCUCUCUUGCUUGCUGUUACAGUCACAAUUUAAGUUCCUGCUUUAUUUAGAGAUGCAGUACAGAACAGGCCCUUCCAGUCCAAUGCAUUGCCCUGCAACACACUUAUUUAAUACUACCCUAACCACAGAACAAUUUAUAAUGAUUAGUUACCUACCCUACAAUGAUUACUACUAAUCCGUAUGUCUUUGGACUGUGGGACUAAACUGAAGCACUCUGAGGAAACCCAUUCGUCCACGGGUAGAAUGUACAAACUCCUUUUAGACAGCGCUGGCAUUGAACUCCAUACUCAGCAGCACCCUGCAUUGUAAUAGCUUCGUGCUAACUGCUACGCUAUAGUAGUGUGCCGUCAUUAUCUUAAUGAAUUUUGAAACUGUUCAUGAUUUCAAUGGAACAAUGUCUGGUAUUGCAAAUGUAAAUUUCCCGGGUGCUCAACUGCAGAUUUUAUUCCUCUUUUAGUGUUAAAUGUUUUCAUUUCUAGGUUUGAGUCAUAAUCUUUAUGCAAUAUGGAAAUGAAUACUUAUUGACAUGUUUUACUAUAUAAGCAUGGGGAGGUCACAUGAAGCAGAAUACAAAGCUGCAUUUAUAGAAGAUUUAGUGGGAUAAUUAAGCUGCUGGCUUCUGAAGCACAAACAUACAGCUGCAAACUGAGUGAACAAGUUAAAUCUACUAUGUCCAGUCAAUGAGAAACCAAGGAUUACAUAUAGCAUGAAAGAAGGUAACCUGUCUCAAUGACCGUCAUCCAGUAGCAAUUACAUCUACAGAAGUGAUUUGAGAAGUUAGUGAUGAAGCAUAUCAACCCCUGCCUGAGAUUUGAUCUGCUCCAAUUUGUCUACUUGCACAACACAUCCACAGCAGAUGCUAUUUCAUUGGCUUUUUACUCAACCCUAUAACAUCUGGACAGCAAAGAUACGUAAAGCAGAAUGCUCUUCAUAAGCUACAGUUUAGCAUUCAAUAGUAGCAUUCCCUGAAAACUAAUCAAUAUGCUUCAGUGCCUUGGCCUUUACCUCCUUGUGCAAUUGGAUCCUUGACUUCCUCACUUUCAGACCCCACUCAGUUUGGAUUGGCAAUGAUAUACCUCCACGAUCUCCAUCAGUGCAGAUGAUAACUAGCCCACCAGUUGUGAGUUGGAGAGCUACGAAACAGGAGGUGGCACAUAGGUCCAGGAGCAAAGUUUAAAAGGGGAAAGCUUUGCAGAAACUCAGCUAUAACCGGCGCACCAAUCGUAUAUUGGAGAACAGGGAAGGUUCAGGGAUAAAAGGAAGACACUGCCUAGUGGAGCACUCAUCGGAGUGGUCUGAGUCAGAGUGGUAGGGCUUUGGCUCAUUUGGGUUUUGGCAAGGUAAGUGGACUUCGUUUUCUCCUUGCAUUUUUUUGAGGAAUAGAGAGCAUGUAUAUAGUACUUUGGGUGUCAGAUGUGGGAGUCCUGGGAAUCUUCCAGUCUCCCAGAUGGCCACAUCUGUGCCAAGUGCAUGGAGAUGCAGCUCCUGAGAGAGCAUGUUAGGGAUUCUGGAGCUGUGGCUUGAUGACUUACAGUUUAUUAGAGAGUGAGCAGAGUAAUAGAGUUGGGGUUUAAACUCAUUUGACAGGGGGAUGGGAAUUACAGUGAUAGGGCUGAGGAAGGGAGAAACAAAUAAAUCAAAGAUGAUUUGCAACAGAAAUGAUAGAAAGGACAGGCAGGAGAUGAGGCAUAAUCACAGCCAGUGGAAUGAGUUAACAGGACAAUAGAGGCUUGGUGCAGUUAAAACAGAAAGCAAUAAAUACUGGACUGAAAGUGUUGUAUUUGAAUGCACGCAGCAUAAGAAAUGAAAUGGAUGAUCUUGAAAUUCAGCUAUAGUGUGGUAAGUAUGACAUUGUGGCCAUCUUUGAAACUUGGCUAAAGGAUGCUGCCAUUGGGAACUGAACAUUCAAGGAUAUGAUGUAUCAGAAAGAUAGGUUAGUAGGCAAAGGGGGUGGUGUGGCCCUGUGGAUAAGAAAUAAUAUUAAAUCAUUAGAAAGGGAUGACAUAGGAUCGGAAGGUGUAGAGUCUCUAUGGGUUGAGUUAAGAAAUGGCAAGGGUAAAAGGACCCUGAUGGCAGUUGUAUACAGGCCUCCAAACAGCAUUCAGGGUGCAGAUCACAAAUUACAGCAGGAGAUAGAAAAGGUGUGUCAGAAGGGCAAUGUCAUGAUAAUUGUUGGGGUUUUUCACAUGAAAGUGGAUUGGGAAAACCAGGCCAGUACUGGAACUCGAGAGAGAAUUUGUAGAGUGUCUAAGGCAUGACUUUUUAGAACAGCUUGUUGUUGAGCCUACUUGGGGAUCGGCUGUGCUGGAUUGGGUGUUGUGCAAAUGAUCCGGAGAUGAUAAGAGCUUAAGGUUAAGGAACCUUUAGGGAACAGUGAUCACAAUAUGAUUGAGUUCACUUUGAAAUUUGAGAAGGAGAAACUAAAUUCCAAUGUCAUUAUUUCAGUGGAAUAAAGGAAAUUACAAUGGCAUGUAAGGGGAAGUGGCCAAAGUUGACUGGGAAAGGACACUAGCAGGAAGGACAGCAGAGCAGCAAUGGUUGGAGUUCCUGUGAAAAAUGAGGGAAGUGCAAGACAGAUAUUCCAAAUAAAUUUUCAAAUGGAAGGACACUACCAUGGCUGACAAGUGAAGUCAGAACCAAAGUAAAAGCAAAAGAGGGCAUACAAGGAAGCCAAAGCUAGUGGGAAGAUAGAGGAUUAGAAGCUUCUAAAAAAAAAAAAAAAAAAAAAAAAUUGCAGAAGGAAACUAGGAAGGUCAUUAGGAAGGGAAAGAUGAAUUAUGAAAGGAAGCUGGUGACUAAUAUCAAAGAAGAUAUUAAAAGCCUUUUUAAGUAUAUAAAGGGUAAAGGAGUUGAGGGUAGAUUUAGGACCAAUAGAAAAUAAUGCUGGAGAUAUUAUAAUGAGAGACACAGUGAUGGCAGAGGAACUGAAUGCAUAUUUUGGAAGACAUCUGCAGUAUACUGGGCAUACAAGAGUGUCAGGGAAGUGAAUAAUGUGCAGUGAAAAUUAAGAUAGAGGGGGUGCUCAGUAGCUUAUUAAUGGUCUUAGGGUGAAUAAGUCUCCUGGACCUGACGGAAUGCACUCUCAGCUUCUGAAGGAAGUAGCUGGAGAGACUGCAGAAGCAUUGACAAUGAUCUUUCAAGAAUCGAUAGAUUCUGGCAUUGUACUGGAUGACUGGAAAAUUGCAAAGAUACUUCACUACUUAAGAAAGGUGGCAGGCAGCAGAAAGGAAACUAUAGACCUGUCAGCCUGACAUCAGAGGUUGGGAAGAUGUUGGAAUCUAUUGUUAGGGAUAAGAUUAUGGAGUACCUGAAGGCACAUGACAAGAUAGGCCAAAGCCAGCAUGAUUUCCUGAAAGGAAGAUCCUGCCCGACUAACCUACUGCAAUGUUUUGAGGAAAUUACAAGCAGGGCAGACAAAGGAGAUGCAGUAUAAGUGUGUACUUGGAUUUUCAGAAGGCCUUUGACAAGGUGCCGCAAGUGAGGCUGCAUAGCAAGAUAAAAGGCCAUGGAAUUAUAGGGAAGUUACUAGUGUGGGUGGAGCAUUGACUGAUUGGCAGAAAACAGUGGGAAUAAAGGGAUCCUAUUCUGGCUGGCUGCCUGUUACCAGUGGAGUUCCAUGGGGUUGGUGUGGGACCACUGCUUUUUAUGGUGUAUGUCAAUGAUAUGGACUAUGUGAUUAAUAGAUUUGUGGCUAAAUUUGCUGGUGAUACAAAGAUAGGUGGAGCAGGUAGUGUUGAGGAAAUGGAGCCUACAGAGAGACUUGGAUAGUUUUAGAGGAAUGGGCAAAGAAAUGGCAAAUUAAAUACGAUGUUGGUAAGUGUAUGGUCAUGCACUUUUGUGGAAGAAAUAAAUGGGCAGACUUAUUUGGGGAGAGAAUUCAAAAUGUAGAGAUGCAAAGGGACUUGGGAGUCUUUGUUCAGGACACCCUAAAUGUUAACCUCUAGGUUGAGUCAGAGGUGCAGAAGGUGAAUGCAAUGUUGGCGUUAGUUUCUUGAGAUGUAGAAUAUAAGAGCAGGGAUGUGAUGUUGAGGCUCUAUAAGGCACUUGUGAGACCACACUGGGAAUAUUGUGUGCAGUUCUGGGCUCCCUAUUUGGAAAGGAUACACUGACAUUGGAGAGGGUUCAGGGAAGAUUUAUGAGAAUGAUUCCAGGAAUGAAAGGGUUACUGUUUGAGGAAUGACUGGCCUGUAUUCCCUGGAGCUCAGGAGAAUGAGGGGGAAUCUCAUUGAGACAUUCCAAAUGUUAAAAGGUCUGAGCAGAUUAGAUAUGGCAAAGUUAUUUCCCAUGUUAAGGGAAUCUAGGAUUGAAGGACAUCCAUUUAGAACAGAGGUGCAGAGAAAUUACUUUAAUCAGAGGGUGGUAAAUCCAUGGAAUUUGUUGCCACGAGCGGCUAUAGAGGACAAGUCAUUGGGUACAUUUAAGGCAGAGAUAGGUUCUUGGUUAUCCAGGGCAUCUAUGGAGAGAAGGCAGGGAAGUGGAAAUGACAGGAAGAAUGGGAUCAACCCAUGAUUGGCAGAGCAGACUCGAUGGGCCAAAUGGCCUACUUCAGUUCCUAUAUCUUAUGGAUGCAUCACAGGGCUGUGUGCUUAGCCCCCUGCUCUACUCUCUUUACAGUGGAGCUGUGCUUAGCCACACAGUCAUAAAGCCAUAUUUGUUUGCUGAUGACAUCACUGUGAUUGGCCAACUCAAAAGUCAUGACAAGUUAGCAUACAGGAGGGAGAUUGAAAAUCUGACUGAGUGGUGCUGCAACAACAGCAUCUUAUGCCAGCACACCAAGGAGCCGAUUAUUGAUUUCAGGAGAAGGAAGCUGGAGGUUCAUGAGCCAGUCCUCAGUGGAGGAUCAGAGGUGAAGAGGGUCAGCAACUGUAAAUUCCUCUUAUUUCAUGUGGCCUGUCCUGGGCUCAGUAUGUAGAGCAAUUACAAAGAAAGCAUGGCAGUGCCUCUGCUUCCUUAGAAGUGUGCAAGGAUUCGACAUUACAUCUAAAACACUAACUUCUACAGAAGUGUAGUGGAGAGUAUAUUAACUGGCUGCAUCACAGUCUGGUAUGGAAACACAAAGCCUUUGAACAGAAAAUCCUACAAAAAGUUGUAAUACAGCCCAGUACAUCACAGUUAAAGCCCUCCCCACUAUUGAGCACAUCUACAUGGAGUAAUGUCACUGGAAAGCAGCAUCCAUCAUCGGGGACCCCUACCACCCAGGUCAUGCUCUUUUCAUUGCUGCCAUCAGGAAGAAGGUACAGGAGCCUCAGGACUCUCACCACCAAGUUCAGGAACAGUUAUUAACCUCAGCCAUCUCAGGCUUGUGAGCCAGAUGGGAUAACUUACCUCAGCUUCACUUCCCCCCCCCCUCCCCCCAAAUAUCUGAACUGUUCCUACAACUUGUGCACUCACUUUCAAUGACUCCACCUCAUGUACUUGAUAUUAACUGCUUAUUUAUUACCUUUUUGUAUUUAGAGUUUGUUGUCUUUUGCACAUAGAUUGUCUACCCUGUUGGUGUGGUCUUUCAUUGAUUCUAUUAUGGUUAUUGGAUUUAUUGAGCAUGCCCAGAAAAAAUGAAUCUGUAUAUGGUGACAUAUUUACUUUGUUAAUAAAUUUUGAACUUCUGGAAUUUGAAGGCG
Molecule: RNA transcript, 8476 nt
Organism: Hypanus sabinus (Atlantic stingray)
Lineage: Eukaryota; Metazoa; Chordata; Chondrichthyes; Myliobatiformes; Dasyatidae
Gene: csnk2a2b
Gene name: casein kinase 2, alpha prime polypeptide b
Exons: 12
Source: RefSeq, a predicted model, not a curated record